Molecule: ribosomal RNA, 297 nt
Filed under: uncultured bacterium
Lineage: Bacteria
Description: partial 16S ribosomal RNA
Rfam family: Bacterial small subunit ribosomal RNA
Source: RNAcentral
CUAACUACGUGCCAGCAGCCGCGGUAAUACGUAGGUGGCAAGCGUUAUCCGGAUUUAUUGGGCGUAAAGAGAGUGCAGGCGGUUUUCUAAGUCUGAUGUGAAAGCCUUCGGCUUAACCGGAGAAGUGCAUCGGAAACUGGAUAACUUGAGUGCAGAAGAGGGUAGUGGAACUCCAUGUGUAGCGGUGGAAUGCGUAGAUAUAUGGAAGAACACCAGUGGCGAAGGCGGCUACCUGGUCUGCAACUGACGCUGAGACUCGAAAGCAUGGGUAGCGAACAGGAUUAGAUACCCUGGUAG